RNAcentral lists this ribosomal RNA (301 nucleotides) under uncultured bacterium. RNAcentral describes it as "partial 16S ribosomal RNA". It matches the Rfam family "Bacterial small subunit ribosomal RNA", at positions 509 to 807 of the family's 1533-position model. The record is from RNAcentral.
CAGUAGCCACGGUAAUACGAAGGGGGCUAGCGUUGUUCGGAUUUACCGGGCGUAAAGGGCGCGUAGGCGGACUGAUAAGUCAGGGGUGAAAUCCCAAGGCUCAACCUUGGAACUGCCUUUGAUACUGUUUGUCUUGAGUUCGAGAGAGGUAAGUGGAACUGCGAGUGUAGAGGUGAAAUUCGUAGAUAUUAGGAGGAACACCGGCGGCGAAGGCGGCUUUCUGGACUGUAACUGACACUGAGGCACGAAAGCGUGGGUAGCAAACAGGAUUAGAUACCCCAGUAGUCCCUGUCUCUUAUAC